This is a long non-coding RNA of Oryza sativa Japonica Group (Japanese rice), 568 nucleotides long. RefSeq lists it as uncharacterized. The record is from RefSeq and is a predicted model, not a curated record. NCBI's taxonomy places the organism in Eukaryota, Viridiplantae, Streptophyta, Magnoliopsida, Poales, Poaceae.
GACCAUACUUAACCCGACCGGCCGACCAACUUUCUCUCCCUCUCGCCCUUGUCUCGUUUCGCAGAAGAACCGAGGUACCCCGCCUCGGAUUCGCCGGGAACGGAGGCGCCAUCUCCGGCGCCGGCGAGAUAAGUCCUCGACUCCGUCACAAUCCGCCAAUCUCCGGGAACGUGACCGCGUCAAAUCGGAACACCGUCGCGCUCUGGACGCCGCUGCUUCGCCUUUGCUCGUCGCCCUGCUUCCAUAGUUCGUUACAGGCUGAGCCACUUCGUCACGAGCUUCAUCAACACCUGUAGAUCAAGAAUCCCGAAGGAAUCGACGCGAGGUGGACCACAGUGGGAGAUCCUCUUCUUCUUCUCCAAUCCCAGCCGCCGACGCCAUUCCUUUCUUUCUCCUUCUCUGUAGAAGCCUGGGGAUACGCCGUCGACGACGACCGUAGCAGCCGCGCCGUCGCCGAACCAGUACACCGUCGCCAAGACUUCGCUGAGCUGCGUUUGCUUCUUGACGAUUCGCAGCCGAGUCUCGAGGAGGCCUACUUUGUAGCUGAGCAAGGAGUGGAAGAGCAAGG